AUCCGGUCUCAAACCAGGAAGUUAGCAUUUUCUUGUGCACAGGGUCUAUUAUGGAUCUUCAGAUCCACAUUAUGUCAGCAGCUAUUCUCCACCGUGAAUUAUGUUAAAAACAAACACCGCUCGCGCCUCACAGAUGGCAGCUUACAGUCCUGCGUAAAGAUGAAAGUAAAGCCCCGAUUUGCAGACGCUGUGCGUAGAGGUUCUGGAGCAGAAGUCCCAUUGUAAACAUACCACGGCAGACCCGACGAUGUUUGCAUGAUGGUUUUUUUUUUGCAAUAUCUUUUGAAAGCCAGGUCAAGUCUCCAAAAGUACAAAGGCGAAAUAAGGGAGGCGGCUCACAACAGUUUUUGUUUGCUUGUCAUGGUCCCUGUGCCUUCUUAGCUGACUCUGUAUGGCUAGAAGUGUUUCCUGUUGUGCUGUCUCUCUCUCUCUCUCUCUCUCUCUCUCUCUCUCUCGCGUGCGCAUAACUGCCUGACCUCAUCGGCCACUGGACUGUCGCCGUUCGAAGCCUCUCUGGGCUACCAACCACCACUGUUCCCAGCCGUGGAGGGUGAGCAUGCCAUCCCUUCAGUGCAACACCAUUUCUGCAGGUACCACUGGGCAUGGCGUGCCACCGAAGCCGCUCUGCUACAGACAGCGGAGUGCAACAAGAUGCUGACCGCCGCCAGGUCCCUGCUCCUCGCAACAUGUGUAUACAUAAUGUAUUUCAUGUCUCCCAGGUCAAACGCGUGCUGUCCAGCCCGUUGUGCCCUACUUUCAGGCCCCCUCUGCCCGCCCGGCUUGUGGAUGGGCAGGAAGUGUUUAAUAUCACCUGCACUAUGCAUUAUGUCUCUCUUCCACAGCAUGUCUUUAUCCUGUCUUCCUUCUCUCACCCCAACCGGUCGCAGCAGAUGGCCCCGCCCCUCCCUGAGCCUGGUUCUGCCGGAGGUUUCUUCCUGUUAAAAGGGAGUUUUUCCUUCCCACUGUCGCCAAAGUGCUUGCUCAUAGGGGGUCAUAUGAUUGUUGGGUUUUUCUCUGUAUUUAUUAUUGUGCUAUCUACUGUACAAUAUGAAGUGCCUUAAGGCGACUGUUUGUUGUGAUUUGGCGCUGUAUAAAUAAAAUUGAAUUGAAUUGAAAAUUGAAUUAAUAUUCAGCAGUAGGAUAGUGCAAAACAUAGUAUUAAUAACUCUAACGAAGUAAUAUACACUGAACAAAAAUAUAAACACAACACCUGUGUUACUGCUCGCAUUCCCCAUGGGAUGGAGGUAGAGACCUAAAAUUCAUUCCAGAUACACAAUAUAACCAUCCCUCCCAAACAGUGGUCACAAAUCAGUCCAAAUGUGUGGUAGUGGGCACAUCUGCUAUAUUGAGA
Molecule: long non-coding RNA, 1351 nt
Organism: Astatotilapia calliptera (eastern happy)
Lineage: Eukaryota; Metazoa; Chordata; Actinopteri; Cichliformes; Cichlidae
Source: Ensembl